CCAUGCAAGUCGAGCGGUAACAGAUCUAGCUUGCUAGUAUGCUUCACCAGCGGCGGACGGGUGGAGUAAUGCAUAGGAAACUGCUCAGAUAGUGGGGGAUAGCCCGGGGGAAACCCGGAUUAAUACCGCAUACGUCCUUCGGGAGAAAGCAGGGGAUCUUCGGACCUUGACGCUAUUGGAUGUGCCUAUGUCGGAUUACCUAGUUGGUGGGGUAAGAGCCUACCAAGGCGACUAUCCGUAGCUGGUCUGAGAGGAUGAUCAGCCACAUCGGGACUGAGACACGGCCCGAACUCCUACGGGAGGCAGCAGUGGGGAAUAUUGGACAAUGGGGGAAACCCUGAUCCAGCCAUGCCGCGUGUGUGAAGAAGGCUUUCGGGUUGUAAAGCACUUUCAGUGAGGAGGAAAACCUUACGACUAAUACUCCUGAGGCUUGACGUUACUCACAGAAGAAGCACCGGCUAACUCCGUGCCAGCAGCCGCGGUAAUACGGAGGGUGCCAGCGUUA
Molecule: ribosomal RNA, 505 nt
Filed under: marine sediment bacterium ISA-3184
Lineage: Bacteria
Description: bacterial SSU rRNA
Rfam family: Bacterial small subunit ribosomal RNA
Source: RNAcentral